Molecule: ribosomal RNA, 610 nt
Filed under: Inocybe griseovelata
Lineage: Eukaryota; Fungi; Basidiomycota; Agaricomycetes; Agaricales; Inocybaceae
Description: eukaryotic LSU rRNA
Rfam family: 5.8S ribosomal RNA (bases 262-415)
Source: RNAcentral
ACCUGCGGAAGGAUCAUUAUCGAAUAAAACUUGAGCAGGCUGUUUGCUGGCCCUCUUGGGGGUAUGUGCACGCUUGUCCUUUGUUAUUUCUCCAACUUGUGCACAUUUUGUAGACCCUGGAGCUUUAUGAAUUUUAUUCGAGUCGGGACUGCUGUGCUUUUCUACUUGGGAGAGUCAGCUUUGCCUUGCAUCUCCAAGGUCUAUGUCAUUUUUCACAACCCUAUCAUGUUUUGGAUGUAUGUUAUUAAAAAUGAAAUAUACAACUUUCAGCAACGGAUCUCUUGGCUCUCGCAUCGAUGAAGAACGCAGCGAAAUGCGAUAAGUAAUGUGAAUUGCAGAAUUCAGUGAAUCAUCGAAUCUUUGAACGCAUCUUGCGCUCCUUGGUAUUCCGAGGAGCAUGCCUGUUUGAGUGUCAUUUAACUUCUCAACCACUUGAUUUUUUUUUGGGUGGCUUGGAUGUGGGGGUUGUUUGCAGGCUUUUCUUGAGGUCAGCUCCCCUGAAAUGUAUUAGUAGUAUCUGAGGCUAUUACUAUAGGUGUGAUAAAUUAUCUAUGCCUUUGGUAUGCUGCAUGAACUGCUUCCAACAAAGAUAAAACCUUUUGAUGAAUUG